This 749-nucleotide ribosomal RNA is filed under the name uncultured bacterium. Its description in RNAcentral is "bacterial SSU rRNA". It matches the Rfam family "Bacterial small subunit ribosomal RNA", at positions 60 to 787 of the family's 1533-position model. The record is from RNAcentral.
GUUCGAGCGCGAAGCGGCUUCGGUCGUUAGUAGAGCGGCGGACGGGUGAGGAACACGUGGGUAACCUACCCUUGGGUGGGGAAUAACCCAGGGAAACCUGGGCUAAUUCCGCAUAACAUCCUUAGCUCACAAGAGUUUUGGAUCAAAGCCGGGGACCCUUCGGGGCCUGGCGCCAGAGGAGGGGCCCGCGGCCGAUUAGCUUGUUGGUGAGGUAACGGCUCACCAAGGCUUCGAUCGGUAGCCGGCCUAAGAGGGCGGACGGCCACACUGGGACUGAGACACGGCCCAGACUCCUACGGGAGGCAGCAGUGGGGAAUUUUUGUCAAUGGGGGAAACCCUGAACAAGCAACGCCGCGUGGAGGACGAAGACCUUCGGGUCGUAAACUCCUGUCGGAGGGGACGAAAGCGGCAACGGUUAAUACCCGUAGUCGUUGACGGUACCCUUAGAGGAAGCCCCGGCUAACUCCGUGCCAGCAGCCGCGGUAAUACGGGGGGGCAAGCGUUGUUCGGAAUUACUGGGCGUAAAGGGCGUGUAGGCGGCCCUGCAAGUCUUUCGUGAAAUCCCACAGCUCAACUGUGGAACUGCGAGGGAAACUGCAGGACUUGAGUCCGGGAGAGGAGAGUGGAAUUCCCAGUGUAGCGGUGAAAUGCGUAGAUAUUGGGAGGAACACCGGUGGCGAAGGCGGCUCUCUGGACCGGAACUGACGCUGAGGCGCGAAAGCUAGGGGAGCAAACGGGAUUAGAUACCC